Molecule: ribosomal RNA, 468 nt
Filed under: uncultured bacterium
Lineage: Bacteria
Description: partial 16S ribosomal RNA
Rfam family: Bacterial small subunit ribosomal RNA
Source: RNAcentral
GACGAACGCUGGCGGCGUGCUUAACACAUGCAAGUCGAACGGAAAGGCCCUGCUUUUGUGGGGUGCUCGAGUGGCGAACGGGUGAGUAACACGUGAGUAACCUGCCCUUGACUUUGGGAUAACUUCAGGAAACUGGGGCUAAUACCGGAUAGGAGCUCCUGCUGCAUGGUGGGGGUUGGAAAGUUUCGGCGGUUGGGGAUGGACUCGCGGCUUAUCAGCUUGUUGGUGGGGUAGUGGCUUACCAAGGCUUUGACGGGUAGCCGGCCUGAGAGGGUGACCGGCCACAUUGGGCCUGGGCUACGGCCCAGCCUCCUCCGGGAGGCAGCAGUGGGGAAUAUUGCACAAUGGGCGGAAGCCUGAUGCAGCACCGCCGCGUGCGGGAUGACGGCCUUCGGUUUGUAAACCGCUUUCGCCUGUGACGAAGCGUGAGUGACGGUAAUGGGUAAAGAAGCACCGGCUAACUACGUG